UACGAAGGGGGCUAGCGUUGUUCGGAAUUACUGGGCGUAAAGCGCACGUAGGCGGAUCGAUCAGUCAGGGGUGAAAUCCCAGAGCUCAACUCUGGAACUGCCUUUGAUACUGUCGAUCUAGAGUAUGGAAGAGGUGAGUGGAAUUCCGAGUGUAGAGGUGAAAUUCGUAGAUAUUCGGAAGAACACCAGUGGCGAAGGCGACUUACUGGACACAUAUUGACGCUGAGGUGCGAAAGCGUGGGGAGCAAACAGG
RNAcentral lists this ribosomal RNA (253 nucleotides) under uncultured bacterium. RNAcentral's name for it is "partial 16S ribosomal RNA". It matches the Rfam family "Bacterial small subunit ribosomal RNA", at positions 524 to 776 of the family's 1533-position model. The record is from RNAcentral.